RNAcentral lists this transfer RNA (70 nucleotides) under Paracarsidara gigantea. RNAcentral describes it as "tRNA-Val". Lineage: Eukaryota; Metazoa; Arthropoda; Insecta; Hemiptera; Carsidaridae. The record is from RNAcentral.
AUAACUAAUCAAAGGUUUUUAUUUAUAUUAAUUAGAUAUUUUAUUUUACUUUUAUUUUAAUGUUUAUUUA